RNAcentral lists this ribosomal RNA (400 nucleotides) under uncultured bacterium. RNAcentral describes it as "bacterial SSU rRNA". It matches the Rfam family "Bacterial small subunit ribosomal RNA", at positions 355 to 769 of the family's 1533-position model. The record is from RNAcentral.
UAGGGAAUUUUGGACAAUGGGCGAAAGCCUGAUCCAGCAACGCCGCGUGCGCGAUGAAGGCCUUCGGGUUGUAAAGCGCUUUUAGAGGAGAUGAGAAAGGACAGUAUCCUCUGAAUAAGCCUCGGCGAACUACGUGCCAGCAGCCGUGGUAAAACGUAGGAGGCUAGCGUUAUCCGGAUUUAUUGGGCGUAAAGCGUGUGCAGGCGGUUUAGUAAGUUGGAUGUGAAAGCUCCUGGCUUAACUGGGAGAGGUCGUUCAAAACGUACUAGACUAGAGUAUGGGAGAGGGAGGUGGAAUUCCGGGUGUAGUGGUGAAAUGCGUAGAUAUCCGGAGGAACACCGAGUGGCGAAAGCGGCCUCCUGGACCAUUACUGACGCUUAAACGCGAAAGCUAGGGUAGC